RNAcentral lists this ribosomal RNA (253 nucleotides) under uncultured bacterium. Its description in RNAcentral is "partial 16S ribosomal RNA". It matches the Rfam family "Bacterial small subunit ribosomal RNA", at positions 524 to 776 of the family's 1533-position model. The record is from RNAcentral.
AACGUAGGAGGCGAGCGUUAUCCGGAAUCAUUGGGUUUAAAGGGUCCGUAGGCGGUUUAGUAAGUCAGUGGUGAAAGCCCAUCGCUCAACGGUGGAACGGCCAUUGAUACUGCUGAACUUGAAUUAUUAGGAAGUAACUAGAAUAUGUAGUGUAGCGGUGAAAUGCUUAGAUAUUACAUGGAAUACCAAUUGCGAAGGCAGGUUACUACUAAUGGAUUGACGCUGAUGGACGAAAGCGUGGGGAGCGAACAGG